GGAGUACUUACUGCUUGGAGCUCGAUACUAUUUACUCUUUAGUGUCUACACACUGCGCAGUUGCGAGCAACCUAUUUGGAAACCGGUUUCUGAAGCUCCGCUUGAAUCACAGGUUGAGCUUUCUCGUAAGCUCGAGCACUGUUCCCUUUCAAUCUAGGGUUUUUCAGUAUUUCAGUAAUAUCAUUGCUGAUUUUACAUUUCAGUUCACUGCGACGAGCAAUGAACAAGGAAGCUACAUAUCCAAUUUAUAAUCUACAGAUUUUGGAUUCCCUUAGUGACAACUCCAUUGACGAGAUUUUGGAGAGCUGGAAUGGUUUUUGUGUGAGCACAGAAGUUCUUCUCAAGGACAGCGGAGAACUUUCGGUCGGAUCGGAGUUCGUUUCCCAUGUACAUGUACUCUGCAAGCAGGGCCUCUACUCGCUCCUUCAGGAUUACUUUCUUCGCUCUCUGGAGGAAACGUUUGAGAAAUAUGGUGCAUCAAAGUUUUGGCGGCAUUUUGAAGCUUAUGGAGACGUCGCCAUGCUAGAGAAGAAUAAAAUCCAUAUUCAAGCAGAUUGGUCCCAGCAAGUAUUAUGGAAGUCACUUGAAGAGAUAUGCUUAGAAAAAGAAUAUCUGGAAAAGUGCCUGUUAAUAUUAGUCAAUGCUUUACAGUCAUACAAGGAAAUCAUGUCAGGGGGAAGACCUAAUGCAGAUAUGGAAAAACUCCAUCUUCUUUCUAGAUACCAGUUAAUGGUUUCUUCAGUACUUAUGACAUCCCUUCCUCGCUGUUUUCCUGGGAUACUCCGCAUCUAUUUCAAGGAAAGAUUAGAAGAACUAAGUACAAUUAUGUCUGGAGACUAUGAGAAUGAUGCUGAUACCGAAGGCAUGGAUGCCAUGGAUUUAGAUGGAACAAGCAAAAACUCCUCAAGAGCCAGUGAAAUGGAUAUUGAUGAAAGUAAUCACAGGAGAAAAUUCUCUGAGAAUAACAAAUUGGUGAAAAACAUUGGAAAGGUUGUCCGUGAUCUUAGAACUCUCGGAUUUACAUCUAUGACUGAAGAUGCUUAUGCUUCUGCCAUAUUUUUACUUUUGAAGACCAAAGUUCAUAACUUGGCUGGCGAUGAUUACCGGAAUUCUGUUUUGCCAUCCAUUAAAGAGUGGAUUCAGGCUGUUCCACUCCAGUUCUUGUAUGCUCUUCUUUCUUAUCUUGGUGACUCAGUUACUUAUGACAGCCCUUCAUCGGGUCUCAAAUCACCCCUUGCUUCACACCCCUCUUCAUGCUUCUCUGGUAUUGAUGCUCCCUCUGAAGGACUCAUCAGAUGGCAGUUGCGCCUCGAGUAUUUUGCGUAUGAAACAUUGCAAGAUCUAAGAAUAGCUAAGCUUUUUGAGAUUAUUGUGGAUUAUCCUGACAGCUCUCCUGCAAUUGAAGACUUAAAGCAGUGCCUAGAGUAUACUGGGCAACACUCAAAGCUUGUUGAUUCUUUUAUCUCUGCACUGCGAUAUCGAUUGCUUACUGCUGGCGCUUCAACUAAUGACAUAUUGCACCAAUAUGUUUCAACUAUCAAAGCACUCCGGACAAUAGAUCCAACUGGCGUUUUCCUUGAAGCAGUAGGUGAACCAAUAAGAGAGUAUUUACGGGGAAGAAAAGAUACCACCAAAUGCAUUGUGACUAUGCUUACAGAUGGGACUGGAGGAAAUCCAAAUGGGAGUGGAAAUACUGGGGAUAGCCUCCUUGAAGAGUUGAAUAGAGAUGAAGAAAAUCAAGAGAAUGCUGGUUGUGACGAUGAUUUCAACACUGAUGACAAGCAAUCUUGGACCAAUUCUGAAUGCUGGGAACCUGAUCCAGUAGAGGCAGAUCCAUUGAAGGGUAGUAGGAAUAGAAGGAAGAUUGACAUGCUUGGAAUGAUAGUUGGCAUAAUCGGCUCAAAGGACCAGCUAGUUAAUGAGUAUCGUGUUAUGCUGGCUGAAAAGCUUCUUAACAAAACUGAUUAUGACGUAGACUCAGAAAUUCGUACUUUGGAACUACUAAAAAUACACUUUGGAGAGAGCAGCAUGCAAAGAUGUGAAAUUAUGCUGAAUGAUGUGAUUGACUCAAAAAGGACAAACACAAAUAUCAAAGCAACCACAAAACAGCCAUCACAGAGAGGUGUCGAGCAAGUAGAAACUGGGGUAUCUCUUGAUCUUCUUGAUGCUACAAUCAUAUCCUCAAACUUUUGGCCACCAAUUCAGGAAGAAUCCCUUAACAUACCUGGGCCCUUGGACCAACUUCUCUCUGAUUAUGCAAGAAGGUUUAAUGAAAUCAAGACGCCUCGCAAGCUGCUGUGGAAGAAAAAUCUUGGUACCGUUAAGCUGGCAUUGCAAUUUGAUGAUCGGGUAGUUCAGUUCACAGUGACUCCGAUUCAGGCAGCAAUCAUCAUGCAAUUUCAAGAACAAACGAGCUGGACCUCCAGGAACCUUGCAGCUAUUAUUGGGGUACCUGUGGACAUACUUAAUCGGAGGAUAAACUUCUGGAUAAGCAAAGGAAUCCUUGUAGAAUCAGGGGUUGCAGAGUCUGAUGAUCACAUAUUUACCCUUGUGGAUGGAGUGGUUGAUUCAAAUAAAAAUGGCAUUAACAGUGGGGCCUGUGAGGAGCUUCUAAUGGGUGAUGAGGAGGGAGAAAGAUCCGUGGCCUCUGUUGAGGAGCAACUACUGAAAGAGAUGACUGUAUAUGAGAAAUUUAUUAUGGGGAUGCUUACUAAUUUUGGCAGCAUGGCAUUGGAUCGGAUCCAUAAUACUUUAAAGAUGUUCUGUGUUGCCGAUCCUCCGUAUGACAAGUCACUCCAACAGCUGCAAAAUUUCUUAUCUGGUCUUGUAUCAGAGGAGAAGCUUGAGCUACGAGAUGGCAUGUACUUUCUGAAGAAGCAGUGACAGAGAGAAGGUUGCAGUAAUAUUACACUGAGAGUGGAGAUUCAAGAAAUUUCAAAAGGCUGGGAUUUCAGGUUUUGGAAGAAGUGCUUUGGUACCGUUGAUUUGAGAUAUCUGGCAUUAUACUGACUUUCAUCCCUAGAUUCUGGUUGCUUAUGCUUCUACGGAUUAUGAAUGCAGUGAUCAAUGAUGUGGAAAGCAAGGACAGUUUGUAGGAAGGUGGCUUAAUUCCUAGCUGCUACAUGCCAUUAUAGUUCAUAUUACAUAAAUCCUUAGGAUUCCAUCUGGUUUGAUGUUAAGUGUUGUCAAGUAAAUAUUAUAUGAGAUAAAAACCAAUAACAGAAAUAAUAAUAAUAAUGUAGAUAAUAAGUUUGUGAAAA
Telopea speciosissima is the source of this 3260-nucleotide RNA transcript. It is a transcript of the gene named anaphase-promoting complex subunit 2, with no coding region annotated. The transcript has 19 exons. The record is from RefSeq and is a predicted model, not a curated record. Lineage: Eukaryota; Viridiplantae; Streptophyta; Magnoliopsida; Proteales; Proteaceae.